CCUAACACAGCUUCCUGCUGGAAGUUUCCGUUUAAGACUGGAGCACUUUCACAACAAGAAGCAUUGGGGUUUUUUUUGGUUUCUUUUCCAAAACUUAGGGAGAGCCUGGAUAUGUUAUAGCUGGUACUGAUGCAAACUAUGUACCUGGACGAAAAGGAGAACCUGGAUCUUCGGGCCCCCAAGGACCACCUGGUGUGCCAGGAGUCAACGGAGCUCCAGGCUUGCCCGGGCAACCAGGACCAUCAGGGCCACCAGGAUUAUCUGUCAAGGGAGAUACUGGAGACCCUGGGGAAAAAGGCUUAAGGGGGAAGUCGGGCAUGAAAGGAGACAAAGGAGAACCAGGAAUAGAUGGGACUGCAGGUUUACCUGGUCCCAUUGGUAUUGAUGGCGUUCCAGGAUUACAAGGUCAGAAGGGAGACAAGGGUGAAAAGGGAAUUGGGAUACAAGGUGUUCAAGGUCUGCGUGGAGAGCCAGGAGAAAAGGUACAUUAAUGUGCAGACUUUACAGUAAAGACAGCAAAACCAAAAAUAUGUUUUCUCACUGAAAAGUUUUAUUUUCAAGGGCGAUGUUGGCUUAACAGGAC
RNAcentral lists this long non-coding RNA (583 nucleotides) under Oryzias javanicus (javanese ricefish). RNAcentral's name for it is "lncRNA (ENSOJAG00000016809.1)". Lineage: Eukaryota; Metazoa; Chordata; Actinopteri; Beloniformes; Adrianichthyidae. The record is from RNAcentral.